Molecule: ribosomal RNA, 544 nt
Filed under: uncultured bacterium
Lineage: Bacteria
Description: bacterial SSU rRNA
Rfam family: Bacterial small subunit ribosomal RNA
Source: RNAcentral
AAUAGAUACCCUGGUAGUCCACGCCGUAAACGAUGAGUGCUAGGUGUUAGGGGGUUUCCGCCCCUUAGUGCUGAAGUUAACGCAUUAAGCACUCCGCCUGGGGAGUACGGCCGCAAGGCUGAAACUCAAAAGAAUUGACGGGGACCCGCACAAGCGGUGGAGCAUGUGGUUUAAUUCGAAGCAACGCGAAGAACCUUACCAGGUCUUGACAUCCUUUCGCCCUCCCUAGAGAUAGGGAUUUCCCUUCGGGGACGAAAGUGACAGGUGGUGCAUGGUUGUCGUCAGCUCGUGUCGUGAGAUGUUGGGUUAAGUCCCGCAACGAGCGCAACCCUUGAUCUUAGUUGCCAGCAUUAAGUUGGGCACUCUAAGGUGACUGCCGGUGACAAACCGGAGGAAGGUGGGGAUGACGUCAAAUCAUCAUGCCCCUUAUGACCUGGGCUACACACGUGCUACAAUGGAUGGUACAAAGGGCAGCGAAACCGCAAGGUCAAGCAAAUCCCAUAAAACCAUUCUCAGUUCGGAUUGUAGGCUGCAACUCGCCUAC